UUGGUGCGUGGUCGGUACCUAAAGUGAAACUGCUAUGCAUCUUUGCCCACAUCAUCUAGACCCCACUGAUUUGCAUGUAAUCAGAGAAAGCCCCAAUAUUCUGAGGACUUCUUAACCGACUGGUCACACUCUGUGCAGAAGUAACUCCAAAUCAGGACACAGGACAGACAUGUGGGCUCCUGCUCAUCUCCUGGGGCUCUUGUUGCUCUGGAUCCCAGGUUCCAGAUGUGACAUCCAGAUGAUCCAAUCUCCUUCUCAGACUGCAUCACUAGGAGACACAGUAACUAUCAAGUGUCAAGCCAGUCAGAACAUUAAUAAUGAAUUAAA
Non-coding RNA from Myodes glareolus (Bank vole), 327 nucleotides. NCBI's taxonomy places the organism in Eukaryota, Metazoa, Chordata, Mammalia, Rodentia, Cricetidae. The record is from RefSeq and is a predicted model, not a curated record.